Molecule: long non-coding RNA, 3038 nt
Organism: Patella vulgata (common limpet)
Lineage: Eukaryota; Metazoa; Mollusca; Gastropoda; Patellidae
Exons: 12
Source: RefSeq, a predicted model, not a curated record
CAUUAUAGAUGUUUCAUUACCGAAAAGAGUAAAAAUAUGCGACAACUCUUGUUGACUGCCCUGACGAUAUAGCGGCUGUGUGCUUAGUUUCGUUGCGUGGCAACCUAUCUUCCGAAUUGAUUUUAAUUUAGAUCUAAAUUGUAUGAUUAAUUAAUUUUGUUUUAAAAAAAAAGAACAAAACAGUGUAACUGUGAGAAUUAUUUUCAUUGAUGUCAAAAAUAUGUGACGUCAUUGAUUAGACGUGUCAUAGAAAUAUUUCUAUAAGAUGCGUAAUCUCGUUUGGGUGAGAUUUGGUAAAUUUACAUGCUCGUUACCAGGUUUGCCCAGUCCGGUUCCGGUCUGAAUUUUUUUUUAACCGACAGUCUGUGGGUGACAGUUUUAGUUACGCUCCAGUGUUACUGGAAAAGAGAUUUGCUCAAGCACUGGGCUGUGGAGCUUCGCUCUUUAUCAAUGUCAGUAUCAAAGUACAGCCACAAAGUACAGACACAAAUAAAUCGGCAUUUAUAUUCCCAGGGUACGAUCCUACCCACAACCCAGCUUUUGAUAUUCUCCAGUCAGAUUUGGAGUCAGAUCGACUGGAAACAACCAUUUAACUAAAUGGCCUGAGUCAGUGAGUGUAGAAUGACGUUGGUUGUUGUCAAAUAUAAAACCUCCACAAUAAACCCUUUUGUGAACCAAAAAUAUUAAUCAAUUUCAUUCCAUGUGGAUAUCAAAAUUGUUCUUUAAGUUAAAUUUUAUAUGAGUAUUAGGUUAAUUUUGUUAAAUAUCAAAAAGUGUGAAAAUUAAUUAGCUACGUAAUUUCGUUUGGGUGAAAUUUGGUAGAAAGGAGGAGAUAACUCUUACCAUGUUAACAUGCACAUGCAUUAGAUCUAUUUGAUAAGGCCAACUUCAAGUUUGGUCAAAGGUCACGAGAUGUAAACAGGGCUAGCGCUAGCACCAAACCUAACCCUAACCCUGGCCUUACGUAUACUAGCCCAUGCACAUUAUCUGUUUUGCCCAGUGUAUCCUGUUCUGGUCUCAAGCCAACAGAUGAAGGUUUCAGUUAUACUAUUUUGUUCCCGGAAAAGAACUUUGGUCUAUAUUAGCCAGGUCGAUGUAGGCCUACCUAAUAAUGACAUAGUAGGCCUGAUUACUGACAUGACAUCAAUCAAUCCCCCAAACUCACGCGUUGAUAUCAACCCUAUUCAUUUUAAUUUUUUAAUAAAUAUCCAUGAUAGCUACUCCAUUAAUAUUAGCUUUGUGAUAAAUAUCCACAAAAUCUGUUUUAGUGUAAAAUAAAAGCAUGAGUAAAAAGGUUCUUUCAAAGAUUACAACCGAUGGAAGUCAGCAGUUUUUUCUGUUAACGACGAUACCAGUGGAUAAAGAAGAUGGUUUUAACUUGUUACUAACGGAUGGACAAUCAACAUGGACAGGAACUUUUUCAGCUGAUAAUAUGGACAAACAGCGUAAAAGGUUAAAAAUGGAUUUUACCUCGUAUUUUAAUCAAACUGAAAAAGCCUUCAUCAAAGAUGAUAAUGAAGUGAAUUUUGAAUACAGUGUUAAAAUUAAAAAUGAUGAUACAGCUGAAUUGGUGUGGAAGAAACAUGUCACCUCAGAUGAUAUUAAGUUUCAGUUAGGAUGUAUAACUCUAAUGUUAAAAGAUGACCCAGGGACUGGUAUAUGUACGAUAUUAAAUCAUAGCGUAGUCAACAGUGAACGAGAUCAACAUCAACUUAAACAGCUAGAAACAGAUAAUAACAGACUGUCACAAGAACGGAUGAUGGCGUUAAAGGUGCUUGAUAACUAAAAGAGCGCUGACCAUAGGAGACUAGUUGAACAGUUUUGGGCUUUAAAAGUAGUUUAUCUGAUGUACGUAAUGUUCAGCCAGGUGUAUAAAGUUCUAAAAGAUCUGAGAGGUAAACAGGAGCUAAAUUAUUUAAACAUUUAAAAAGGCUAGAAAAAUAUAUUGCUGCAAAAGAAGAAAUGGAAAAAGAUUUAUUUUCAAAGGACAGUGUAGUUUCUGCCUACUCUUGAUCAAGUUCGAGUUGUUGGAUCUUCUUUAAUGUGGACACCAUCUCGUACUCAAUGGACCACCAGUUUUCAUCCUUUUCCUUACUGAACCAGUGACAUGAGGAAAGCAUCCUGGAAAAUCUCAAGAAACCUUCUCGACAAACACCAAGAUCAAAGUCAGGAUCUCCCGGUUAAUUAUUAUCAUCUACAUGGUUCAGGUGAUGAUAAUGAGAAAGAUGAUGGAACAUCAGUGUCACAGUCGAAUUCUACUCGAAAUGGUAGACAAAACAGAGAAGAACGGGUUGAAACAAAUAAAGAAGAAAGGUAAAUAAACCUUAAUUAUUGAACACCUGACCGAAAUGGAAGACAAAACAGAGAACAACAGGUUGAAACAAAUAAAGAAGAAAGCGAUAAAGAAGAAAAUACAGAUGAGGAAGAGACGCCACCACCUAAACGUCAGAGAAAGAAUGUAGGCCGUAAAACUGGUGAUCUAGAUUCAUCGUUAGAUUUAGGGGAUGACGAGAUUACAUCAUCAUCUUCUACGAUAGUUAAAAGGUCAGCUAGAAAGAGAGGAAGUGUAAGAACAGCGACACCAAGUAAACCUAUUUUACCUAAAAUAACUAGAAAUACGUCCAAUGAGAGCUAUGAUGGUAGUCGAGGUCGGAUGAGUAAAAGUAGUUCUAAUAAUUCUAAUGUAUCUAAUAUAGAUCCUGAAGAUUUGUUCAGUGUUUUGUAGACUUAUUUAUCAGACAGAAUAGUACAUAACUGUUUGUAUCUGGUUUAUUUAUCAGACAUUUCAAUCAGUUUCUAAUGUGCUUGAUACUGAAAUUUGAGAGAACAACUGUAAUAAUAGGAGGUAGCCAUUGUUUACGAUUCAGACAUAAUGUUGUGUAUUAAUUGUAUAAUUUGUAUAUAAUACAGGCAUAAUGUUGUGUAUUAAACAUAACCUAAUAUUGUAUAUAUCACAUGAAUAUACUACUGCUAAUAUAAUAGAAUAUAUUGUAUUAACAUGUUUGUUUGUUUGUAUCUAAGACGCCAUGUUGAAUGUC